ACGAAGGGGGCUAGCGUUGCUCGGAAUUACUGGGCGUAAAGGGAGCGUAGGCGGGUUGACAAGUUGGAGGUGAAAGCCCAGGGCUCAACCCUGGAAUUGCCUUCAAAACUGUCAGCCUUGAGUAUGGAAGAGGUAAGUGGAACUCCGAGUGUAGAGGUGAAAUUCGUAGAUAUUCGGAAGAACACCAGUGGCGAAGGCGACUUACUGGUCCAUGACUGACGCUGAGGCUCGAAAGCGUGGGGAGCAAACAG
This 251-nucleotide ribosomal RNA is filed under the name uncultured prokaryote. RNAcentral describes it as "partial 16S rRNA". It matches the Rfam family "Bacterial small subunit ribosomal RNA", at positions 525 to 775 of the family's 1533-position model. The record is from RNAcentral.